GAGGGCAUAGCUCAGUGGUAGAGCACAUACUUAGCAUGCACGAGGUCCUGGGUUCAAUCCCCAGUACCUCCA
This 72-nucleotide transfer RNA is filed under the name Camelus bactrianus (Bactrian camel). It matches the Rfam family "tRNA". From Rfam's summary of the family: Transfer RNA (tRNA) molecules are approximately 80 nucleotides in length. Their secondary structure includes four short double-helical elements and three loops (D, anti-codon, and T loops). Lineage: Eukaryota; Metazoa; Chordata; Mammalia; Artiodactyla; Camelidae. The record is from Rfam by way of RNAcentral. RNAcentral also lists the same sequence under 2 other names.